RNAcentral lists this long non-coding RNA (2808 nucleotides) under Sus scrofa (pig). Its description in RNAcentral is "lncRNA (ENSSSCG00005044115.1)". Lineage: Eukaryota; Metazoa; Chordata; Mammalia; Artiodactyla; Suidae. The record is from RNAcentral.
GAAAUAGUGUCAGAAAACUCACAGAAUUGAGCUGUUAAAUAUUGUUAUCAUUUUAAAACAAGGAAACAAAAAUUGUAAGAUAUCCUUAGUUUGGUUUUCAGUUAACUGAUGAUUUUAAAACAAGGAAAUUUGAGUACCUGGAAAAUAUGUGAAGGUUAACAAUAAGCAAUGCUAAUGGCCUUUAAAGAAGUAAUCUUUCUAAACUCAGUCUUUUUGGAUUGAAUUACAGAAGUAUUAAGAGGAAAGGAAUGUCAUGGAAGAAAUAUCUGGAUUCUUUAUUACAACAAUCUCUAUAGUGCUUCCUGAAAUUCAACUUGGAAAUGCAUUUCAUAUUCCCAGCUAGCAUGUGAACAAAAUCUAGCAAAGAGCAAAAUAUCACAUUUGUCAGAUUAGCUAAACAGCACAUUUGCAGCAAUACACAUAUAUGCUGCCUUAAAAAGAUCAUUUGUAAAAUUUGUCAGCAUAGGGCUUUAUGUUUAUUUUUAGUUAGACUAGCACAUUUAUUCUAUUCAUUGAAGGGUUUUUUUUUGGGGGGGGGGGUUUGUUGUUUGUUUGUUGGUUGGUUUGUUUUGGCUGAGCCCACAACAUGUGGAAGUUCUUGGGUCAAGGAUAAAAUCUACACCACAGCAGUGACCCAAGCCGCCACAGUGACAACACCAGAUCCUUAACCCACUGCUUCACAAGAGAACUCCUCACUGAAGUAUUUUUUUAAGGCUACUAAACUCUCUAGUUAUACUAGGGGAAAAAAUUGCUUAGUUUAUUUAAAACUCUGCUGGUAGCAUUUUACAUGAAGUUUAAGGUUUUCGUAAUAAGUUUAGAGUUUCAUAAAAUGCAACCCCAUAUUAUUAUCCUUUUACUUGAGUCAAAAUAUAUUAUCAGGUCUUGGAGUUCCCAUUGUGGUGCAGUGGAAACAAAUCUGACUAGUAUCCACAUAGAUGUGGGUUUGAUCCCUGGCCCUCACUCAGUGGGUCGGGGAUCUGGCAUUGCCAUGAGCUGUGGUGUAGAUCAUGCAGUUGCGGCUCAGAUCCUGCAGUGCUGUGGCUGUGGCUGUGGUGUAGGCUGGCAGCUGCAGCUGGGAUUCAACCUCCAAGUCUGGGAACUUCCAUGUGCCACGGGUGUGGCCCUAAAGAGCCAAAAAAAAGAAAUAUAUUAUCAGGCCUUGUUCCUUAAACAGUCUACUUGCAUUAUAGCAAGGCACUAAGGACUAUUUGAGUUACAACCCUUUCAUUAAAAUGUCAUUAGAGGAGUUCCCAUGGUGGCUCAGUGGUUAAUGAACCCAACCAGUAUCCAUGAGGACACAGGUUCAAUCCCUGGCCUUGCUCAGUGGGUUAAGGAUCUGCCAUUGCCCUAAGCUGUGGUGUGGAUCGCAGAUGCUGCUCAGAUCCAGUGUUGCUGUGGCUGUGGCAUAGGCUGGCAGCUGUAGCUCCAAUUCAAUCCCUAGCCUGGGAACCUCCAUAUAUCUCAGGUGGGGCCCUGAAAAGACAAAAGACCAAAAAAAAAAAAAAAAGUGAUUAGAGUUAUAAAGGAAUGAUGAGGAAAAACAGACUUCUGAAAGUUUUUAGUUUGUUUUCAUUUUAUGCCUUAAUAUUCUUAACACCAACACAUGGACCUUAAUGUCACUUUAACUGUCCCCUGCAUCUAAUAGAUUACUAACCCUAACCCAUCUACCUUAGCCAAGACCUCAGCUCGUCCCUUCCAUCUCUCUGAGUGCAUUCAGGGUAUAUAUAGGAUGCUACACAUAUAGUCAGAGUUACUACCUGCAGCCCUGUAAUCCUCUUGCUCUAGCUGUUCUUGUGCCAUUGCUGCUGCCUUCCUCUCUGCUUUAUGCCCACCGGUGCUCCCUAGCCACAGAUCAGGCAGUACCGAUUCACCCCUGACUCCUGAGCCUAUGCUCACUGCCAUCAAGGCCGCCUGGAGUUCCCUGCUGCUUUCAGUUACCUGUUGCUGCAUAACGACCACUCCCAAAACUCAGUGGCUUAAAAGGAUUUUUUUUCUAUCUCUCAAUUCUCUUUUACAUGAAAAAAAUUAUUAUAUCUCUCAAUUCUGUUAUAAAGAACAUUGGCUUUCCUUAAUCUUUCUACUGUUAUAAUCGCAUCAAACUUUUUUUGUUUGAAAUUAUUUUUAAAGCUGUUUCAUGCAUUAAAAGGUUUUUGGUGCAUUGUAAUUUUUUUUUUCAGUACUAGUAGACCUAAAGUCUUAAAUUUACUGGUGGUGUAACAAAAUUUGAGGGUGUCAUCUUUGAGUAUUUGACUGACAAUUUCAUUUUUUCUUGUAUUCAAAUCAUACUUUUUUCUUUUUCUCAUAAACUGACUUGAGUUCUAGGAUGAUUUAAGUUGCCUCUAUUUGGUCUUAUUUGGUCAAUAAGAAAGUAAAACUGACUCUAAGUUAAGAGAAAAAUAGGCAAUUUGUCAGUUUUUAGGUGAUCAUGACAUGCUAAUAAAAGUAGCUAACUUACAGCUUACUAAAAAAGUUGUCUUGAUUGUUAUAGAAUAAAUCUUUUGGGAGACAAUCUUAACAGGUUUAAACAUUUGGGUGGAGAAGAGCAUAUAUUUUCUAGAAGUGAUUUUUUUCUGAGUGACAAAUAUGAGCACAUAAUUUAUUAUGAUACUAUUCAUAGCAAACAAUACUUGAAAGAGUUUCAUUGUGAUUCUUGUUUCUAUGUAGCUGAUGUGUUUUAUUGGGUUUUUUUUUUUUUAAUCUUGAAAUUUGUUCAGCUUCUCUUUUGUGCCUCUUUACUGAGGAAAGCUGUAUGGUAUUUAAAGUAUAGUUCAGUAUUGCUCUGAACAAAAAAAAAAAAAAAAAAAAAAA